This is a long non-coding RNA of Pan troglodytes (chimpanzee), 622 nucleotides long. RefSeq lists it as uncharacterized. NCBI's taxonomy places the organism in Eukaryota, Metazoa, Chordata, Mammalia, Primates, Hominidae. The transcript is spliced from 5 exons. The record is from RefSeq and is a predicted model, not a curated record.
GGAAGCCAGCCACCAUUGCUGAUGGGCGGAAGAACUGCUGACGGCUGAGAGCCCAGGCAAGUCUGGGAAAGGAAGGUGAGCUGACAGAAGAGGAAUCAAUUCUGGACCGGAGGGUGUGUCCCUGCCUUUGCCCUCCCCGCCUCCCCCCACAUCCUUCUCUGGCAAGGGGAAUGAGGAUGAGAAUGACCUCCAUCCGCAGGACGAGCUUUGAGGGCCCUUGUUGCGAGCAGGAAGAAAAGGAAAGUAGCACUGAGGAACGGAUGGUGCCUGCAGCAGAGAGACAGCUUGGAUUCAUCAGAGAAAGGCCCAAGAGCUGCAUCAGUCAUUAUUAAAUAGAAAUCAAUAAGUGAAGUCACAAAAUUACGGUAGCCUAAAGGGCACACGAAAGGCCAGUGAUCAUUGCCUCCAAUUAACAUUUGUUAAUACCAGAGGAAGAAAUGCCGCAGAGGAAGCUUCCAACGGCAGGUGAUUUCUCCACCUCAACCCAGUCCAAGUGCACAGAGAAGUAAGGAUUCCAGGGACCUUGGCGACCUUGGGAACAGGUGCCAGAAUGAGACUGAGAAACCCUGACCCAACCCUUCCUCCUGGAGAUUCCUCAUCCAUGAAAUUGUCAGGCUGGAAA